Molecule: ribosomal RNA, 434 nt
Filed under: uncultured Pseudomonas sp.
Lineage: Bacteria; Pseudomonadati; Pseudomonadota; Gammaproteobacteria; Pseudomonadales; Pseudomonadaceae
Description: bacterial SSU rRNA
Rfam family: Bacterial small subunit ribosomal RNA
Source: RNAcentral
AAUUCGAAGCAACGCGAAGAACCUUACCACGGCUUGACAUGCAGAGAACUUUCCAGAGAUGGAUUGGUGCCUUCGGAACUCUGACACAGGUGCUGCAUGGCUGUCGUCAGCUCGUGUCGUGAGAUGUUGGGUUAAGUCCCGUAACGAGCGCAACCCUUGUCCUUAGUUACCAGCACGUUAUGGUGGGCACUCUAAGGAGACUGCCGGUGACAAACCGGAGGAAGGUGGGGAUGACGUCAAGUCAUCAUGGUCCUUACGGCCUGGGCUACACACGUGCUACAAUGGUCGGUACAAAGGGUUGCCAAGCCGCGAGGUGGAGCUAAUCCCAUAAAACCGAUCGUAGUCCGGAUCGCAGUCUGCAACUCGACUGCGUGAAGUCGGAAUCGCUAGUAAUCGUGAAUCAGAAUGUCACGGUGAAUACGUUCCCGGGCCUU